This 478-nucleotide ribosomal RNA is filed under the name uncultured haloarchaeon. RNAcentral's name for it is "bacterial SSU rRNA". It matches the Rfam family "Archaeal small subunit ribosomal RNA", at positions 53 to 527 of the family's 1478-position model. Lineage: Archaea; Methanobacteriati; Methanobacteriota; Halobacteria; Halobacteriales; Halobacteriaceae. The record is from RNAcentral.
GCUAGUCGCACGAGUUCAGACUCGUGGCGAACAGCUCAGUAACACGUGGCCAAUCUCCCCCACAGCGACGGAUACCCUCGGGAAACUGAGGUUAAUCCGUCAUACCCAUCUCACGCUGGAAUCGCCGAGAUGCUCAAAACGCUCUCCGGAGCGCUGUGGGAUGAGGCUGCGGUUGAUUAGGUAGACGGUGGGGUAACGGCCCACCGUGCCCAUAAUCAGUACAGGUUGUGAGAGCAAGAACCUGGAGACGGAAUCUGAGACAAGAUUCCGGGCCCUACGGGGCGCAGCAGGCGCGAAACCUUUACACUGCACGCCAGUGCGAUAAGGGGACUCCAAGUGCGAGGGCAUAUCGUCCUCGCUUUUGUGUACCGUAGGGAGGUACAGAACAAGGGCUGGGCAAGACCGGUGCCAGCCGCCGCGGUAAUACCGGCAGCCCGAGUGAUGGCCGAUCUUAUUGGGCCUAAAACGUCCGUAUGCU